AUGGUGAAGGUUGGAGUAAACGGAUUUGGCCAUAUCAGGUGCCCGGUCACCAGGGCUGUUUUUAUCACUAUCACAGUGGAUACUGUUACCAUCAAUGACUCCUUCACUGGUCUCAACUUUAUUGUCUAUAUGUUCUAGUAUGAUUUUAUCUAUGUCAGGUUCAAUGACACAGUCAAGGCUGAGAACAGGAAGCUUGCCAUCAAAGGGAAGCCCAUGUCUAUUUUCCAGGAGUGAGAUCCCACUAUCAAAUAGGGUGAUGUUGGUGCUGAAUAUGUUGUGAAGUUCACUGGGGUAUUCAGUAUCUUGAAGAAGACUGAUGAUCAUUUGAGGGGUGGAGCCAAAGCGGUCCUCAUCUCUGCCUCAUCUGCUGAUGCCCCAUGUUUGUGAUGAGUGUGAACCAUGAGAAACAUGGCGUUUCCCUCAAGAUCUUCAGCAAUGUCUCCUGUACCACAAACUGCCUAGCACCCCUAGCCAAGUUCAUUCAUGACAACUUUAGCAUUAUGUUGGAACUUAUGACCACAUUCCAUGCCAAUACUACCACCCAGAAGACACUCUGGGAAACGGUGGCAUGACACCUGUGAGACUGCUCAGAACGUCAUUCCUGCAUAUACUGUUGUUGCCAAGGCUGUGGACUAAGACAACCCUGAGCUGAAAGGAAAGCUCACUGACAUGCACUUCUGUAUCCCCACACCCAGUGUGUUGGUUGUGGAUCUGAUCUUUCAUCUGGAAAAGCUGCCAAAUAUAAUAGCAUCAAGAAGAUGGGGAAGCAUGAAUUAUAGGGCACCCAGAAGGCAUCCUGGGCUAAGCUGAAGAAGAUCAGGUUGUCUCCUGUAGCUUUAAAAGUAAAACCCACUCUUACACCUUCAAUGUUUGAGCUGGCAUUUUCUUCAACAACUAUAUCAUUAAGUUCAUUUCCUGAUGUUACAGUGAAUUUGGCUGUAGUAAUAAGGUGGUGGACCUUGUGGCCUACCUGGCCUCCAUGAAAUAA
This 988-nucleotide long non-coding RNA is filed under the name Homo sapiens (human). Its description in RNAcentral is "non-protein coding lnc-SCLT1-7:1". The record is from RNAcentral. Lineage: Eukaryota; Metazoa; Chordata; Mammalia; Primates; Hominidae.